GCCGAGGUGGUGGAACUGGUAGACACGCUACUUUGAGGGGGUAGUGGGUGAAAACCUGUGCGGGUUCGAGUCCCGCCCUCGGCA
This 84-nucleotide transfer RNA is filed under the name Deltaproteobacteria bacterium. RNAcentral describes it as "tRNA-Leu". It matches the Rfam family "tRNA". Rfam says of the family: Transfer RNA (tRNA) molecules are approximately 80 nucleotides in length. Their secondary structure includes four short double-helical elements and three loops (D, anti-codon, and T loops). RNAcentral also lists the same sequence under 3 other names. Lineage: Bacteria; Pseudomonadati; Myxococcota; Myxococcia. The record is from RNAcentral.